AGUGAACGCUGGCGGUAGGCCUAACACAUGCAAGUCGAACGGCAGCACAGUAAGAGCUUGCUCUUACGGGUGGCGAGUGGCGGACGGGUGAGGAAUACAUCGGAAUCUACUUUUUCGUGGGGGAUAACGUAGGGAAACUUACGCUAAUACCGCAUACGACCUACGGGUGAAGGCAGGGGAUCUUCGGACCUUGCGCGAUUGAAUGAGCCGCUGUCGGAUUAGCUAGUUGGCGGGGUAAAGGCCCACCAAGGCGACGAUCCGUAGCUGGUCUGAGAGGAUGAUCAGCCACACUGGAACUGAGACACGGUCCAGACUCCUACGGGAGGCAGCAGUGGGGAAUAUUGGACAAUGGGCGCAAGCCUGAUCCAGCCAUACCGCGUGGGUGAAGAAGGCCUUCGGGUUGUAAAGCCCUUUUGUUGGGAAAGAAAAGCAGCAGGUUAAUACCACGCUGUGCUGACGGUACCCAAAGAAUAAGCACCGGCUAACUUCGU
RNAcentral lists this ribosomal RNA (491 nucleotides) under uncultured bacterium. RNAcentral describes it as "partial 16S ribosomal RNA". It matches the Rfam family "Bacterial small subunit ribosomal RNA", at positions 29 to 506 of the family's 1533-position model. The record is from RNAcentral.